GACGGAUGGUGCAAGCGUUGCUCGGAAUCACUGGGCGUAAAGGGUGCGUAGGCGGCCGCGCAAGUCUGGCGUGAAAGCCCCGGGCUCAGCCCGGGAAGGGCGCUCGAAACGGCGCGGCUCGAGUGCCGGAGGGGAGAGUGGAAUUCCUGGUGUAGCGGUGAAAUGCGUAGAUAUCAGGAGGAAUACCGGUGGCGAAAGCGACUCUCUGGACGGCAACUGACGCUGAGGCACGAAAGCGUGGGGAGCAAACAGG
Molecule: ribosomal RNA, 253 nt
Filed under: uncultured bacterium
Lineage: Bacteria
Description: partial 16S ribosomal RNA
Rfam family: Bacterial small subunit ribosomal RNA
Source: RNAcentral